This 265-nucleotide ribosomal RNA is filed under the name uncultured bacterium. Its description in RNAcentral is "partial 16S ribosomal RNA". It matches the Rfam family "Bacterial small subunit ribosomal RNA", at positions 793 to 1055 of the family's 1533-position model. The record is from RNAcentral.
GUCCACGCUGUAAACGAUGAGUGCUAGACGUUGGGGGGUAACUCUCAGUGUCGCAGCUAACGCAUUAAGCACUCCGCCUGGGGAGUACGGUCGCAAGAUUAAAACUCAAAGGAAUUGACGGGGGCCCCGCACAAGCGGUGGAGCAUGUGGUUUAAUUCGACGCAACGCGAAAAACCUUACCAGCCCUUGACAUGGGUAUUUUGGAUUUCAGAGAUGAGAUCCUUCAGUUCGGCUGGAUACCACACAGGUGCUGCAUGGCUGUCGU